CCCUUAGAUGUUCUGGGCUGCACACGUGCUACACUGGCAGGUUCAGCGAGCUUCAUGCCCUGAUCUGAAAGGAAUGGGAAAUCUUUUCAAAACCUGCCGUGCUUGGGAUAGAUGUUUGCAAUUAUUCAUCUUCAACGAGGAUUGCCUUGUAAGCGCACGUCAUCAGCGUGCAUUAAAUACGACCCUGUAUUCUGUACACACCGCCCGUCGCUCCUACCGAUUGAAGUUUUCGGUGAGUUGACAGGAGGAUUUUUUUGAAACUGGUUCGCCAGUGGAUUUUAGAUCCAAAUGCCAACGAAUCGAUGGCUUUAGAGGAAGGAGAAGUCGUAACA
This 332-nucleotide ribosomal RNA is filed under the name uncultured eukaryote. RNAcentral describes it as "partial 18S ribosomal RNA". It matches the Rfam family "Eukaryotic small subunit ribosomal RNA", at positions 1470 to 1796 of the family's 1831-position model. The record is from RNAcentral.